GGCUUUCAUGAACCAUUUGAACGCAUCAGGAUUGACGUUUAAGGCAUGAACAUUAAAAGAGUUUCAUUUAGCUCCAAUGUAGUUUGGGGAAGAAGGAGAAAAGCUCAAACUUGUUUAAAGAUUUUUUAAAAAUAUUUAUUUUAAGUUUGUUUUGGCACUACUAGCCUUUAUACAUUAGUACUUCAGUUACAGCAAGUCUUGUUAAGUGAACUUAACUCCAGACUGGAGUUAAGUUCAGAGAGCUGAGAAGAUACAUUUUCAGGGAACGCCAAAGGUUCUCAGAUCAUUCUCAGUUUCAUUUAUGCCUGGGCUUUGACUGGACCACUUUAACACAUACUAAUGUUCUCAACUAAGCCCUUCUCUUGUAAAUUUAGGGUUAUCGUCCUGCUGCAAGGUGAACCUCCUGUCCAGUCUCAUCCCUUAGAGCAUCUGACAGGUUUCCCUCUGAGGACUGUCCAGUUUUUACCUCCAUCCACCUUGCAAUCAACUCUGAUCAGUUUUCCUGUCCCAGUGAUGUUGCCUCUACCGUGGGCUCAGGACGAUGUGCAGAGCUAUAUUUGACGUCUGUUUACUAAGCAGAUACUAUGUUUUAUUUAUAGGCGGAGCUGCACAAUAAUUCAAACCACAGUUGUCGCUACAUGUCAAUGUAUGAAGCAUCUCCAUGCAAAGGACAGCAUGGAUGCAGUUCUUGGUUGGAUUUCCACUUACACGCAUGCAAAUUCUGCAUGACAACAACUGAUGCAUAUAUUUAGUUUGGCUAUUGUAUCGCAUAUGUUUUCCUAAUAUUGUGCAACCUUUUUAAGCGUAUCAGAGUAAAGCGGGUUGAAUAAAAUGGAUAACCAUUUUGAAAACCAUGCACCAUUUCCCUUCCUCUUUGUGUGUCAUGCAAUCUUCCAAUAUUAUACACUGAUGGAUAUUUUAAAGUGCUUCAUUUUUAAUGCAGCAAUAACUUUUGAGUCCUUUCAAAAUAUCUUUCAGAAUGCAUCUGGACUCCCAAAUGCAAGAUUCCGGUCAUGUCGCUACAAAGAUUUUUGUCCUGGCAGCCACGAGAGCCGUCGUCUCAUCGGUGUUCUGCUGCUUCUCCUGGUCCAUUAAAGUUUCAUAGUAUCUCUGCUCCUUGUCAAGCAUCACUUCGUUCCAGGAUCCGAAAUGGAUGAACCGUUUUAAGCAAGUUUUACCUGAUCGAUAAAACUGAAAACUGCAUAAUUUGACACCCGAGACUUCCCAUUCGUCACUGCCUCAUCCCGCUGCACGCUGAAUAACUUAACAUUCACAGCUAUGAAUGUGAAAGAAAAAGAAGGCACGCUUCUUGGUACAAUUUUGUUUAAAUGGGGAGAUUUUGAAAGCGGCAAAUAAAUCAAGUAUGGAGAUCAUUCAGAGGCAUUUUUAAGGCAAUAGCUUGAAAGCGAAACCUUGUGUGACUGUGCAGAAGCCCACAGGAAGCCAGGCAUGAAGUUUAAGAGUUCACAGAGCAACAGGAGCCUGGCAACCGGGAGAAAAGAGGCUGGACUAAAAAGACAGGAAGGGAAAACAGAGAGUGAAAGGAGAGGAUAGGGCAGAGAGUGGGUGGGAGAAAUUAGCAGCUCAAAGGGCUGAUAUUUUGUACAGAAAGAGACGACAAACAGGAUGGGAUGUAGUCGAUGUCUGGAGUGAUUCAGGUAAUUAAAACGGGGAAUGACAGACAAGAGCAAAACAGGAAGGGAAGACAGACGAGCCUCUGCCGAUCAGCAGGCUCCUUGCCUUUCAUCUAAAUCUAAUAUAUUUCCACCGUUCACCAUCAAGCCUCCUCUCCCUGCUGCUAAAUGAUAUAUGAUUACCCCGCAACCACAAAUAAUAAAGGCUUCAUUGUGGAAUGAGCAGACUGUCAAGAGAUGCAUUUGGAAGCCAUAUGAACUGGAACGGUGCGAGCAGCAAACAGGAGAGGACAUGCAGCAUCCCCUCGCUAAUGCAGGUCUGCACGGCAGAAGUUGACAGAGGUGUUGACGUGACGGCGCAAAAUCCUGGGGAGUAUUUAUAGCAUUGAGGCGUCUCGGCAGCUAAAAGGAAGCAACGUGUUUUCUGUUACUUUAGUCACUCAGGAUGCCUGUUAUAUAACAGGUCUGGGCUCAGAUGAAACUUUUGUUUGGCGGUCUCCCAGCCCUGAAGUGAAAAACGAAGACUCGUUUCACGUUCACACACACAAACUCAUCCCCGUCGUCGUCGUUGUCGUUGUUCCAGGCCGUCUCUCAGCCGCAUCUGUUAAGGUGUGCCUCCAAGCUGACAGAUUUGCCGGCUUGCGUUUAGAGCGGCGGGUGUGUGACGUCUCCGUUUGAAAUGCGAGGUGCGGGGAGGAACACCCAGGGAGUCACCAGAAGAGUUGAAAAGUGACUUUAGUCCCUCUGCAGUUGAACGCCAGCCCACCGCCCGGUGAAGGCCAGAAGGACUUAAAAGACAACCCCAGCCCAUAUAUGGCCAGCUGACAUUCUUUCCCAGCAGGCUUUCCAACCUUUUUCCCACAUCAUUUAAGACCCCCCCUACUGGUAGUCACUUCUAAAGCGUCGUUCUUCUAUUCACCUCUUUUCCACUCCACAAAGAUGUUUCUGUAAGUCUGCCUCUGCACUGAAGUUUCAGCAUUUCAUGCGGCAACCACAGAUUUCACACCGGCUUUGAUUGCUGCUUUGAUCAGACGCAAGCGUCACCGUGCGCCAUGUGAUUUCACUCAGCCGGUCUGAAAUCUACAUACGUCUGAAUGUGCUGCGAUGUUGACUAAACCACAAUAAUUACAAAGGGUGGGGCCGGCUGGCGUACCAGACACACAGUGAUGUCAAGACUUAUGAAAUUUGUCCGCACCUCUUCACAAACGGAUUUGGUUUUCCUGUGAAUGAAUCCUGGAAAUAAGAAUGCAUGACUAAAGUUCACCUCUCUGACGUACAGUGUCGUUCUGACCUGCAGCCGCCGAAACCAGUUUGGGUGCUUUACAGCAGCCUUUAUCUGUGACUUUAUAUGCACGCACGCACGCACACACGCACACACGCACGCACACACACACACACACACACACACACACACACACACAUAUGCAGGCUCGCUGUUGUUUUAGAGAUGAUUUUUUUAGUUCCAUAGGAAGUAUAAUAUUUGAUCAAGAGUAAAAAACACAAGACGCUCUGUGUCUUUUGGUGGCUCCUUUCCAUGUUACCCUCUGGUUUUGACUUAGGUUUCUAUUAUUUCCUGCUGCAUGAUUUUUCAGAUCAUGAUUUAUUUCUGUGUAAUGAAUAAUAAACAAACUGAUGCCCUGCAAAACUACUGAACCUUUUCACUUUUUGUCACAAACUCAAAUUUAUGUGAUAGACUGACAGAAAUAGUGCAUCGCUGUUAAGUGAAAAGAAUAAAAAUCUAAAAGGUGAGGCAUAAAUUUGCGCUUAAAUGUUUUGCAGCUUUUAACAAACUUCCCUGCAGGUCUGCUCUACAGUUAACUUGAUCGGUUUUACCAUUAACCCUGAAAAUAUUCUCACUACAUGAUGCUGCUACCAUCGACGUGGUAUGUUUGGGUGACAUACGUUACCUUGUAUGUCAAACAAAAACUUUACUGUUUGAGCGUAUCUGACCCGAACACCUUCUCCAAAUAAUAUUUGCUGUGACACUCAAACAGCUGGUUGCAAUUUGCAAACUGGGCUUCUUAUGACUCAACAUCAUCAGUUGUUUUCUUCUGUCCACUUAUCCAAAAAGGGCAGAUGUUUCGUUGAGGGCAUGUUGUCCUGUUAGGAUGUUCUUCCACCUGAGCUGUGGAUCUCCGCAGCUCUUCCAGAGUCAUAUUAGAGGCGUUCAAAAUUUACACUUCUCCAAGCGUCAUCUCUGACCUGUCUGCUGUGUUCACUGCUCCUCACGAUGCUUUUUUUUUUUGUUCACUGUUAUGUAACAAACCACCGAGGUCUUCACAGAACAGCUGGAUCAGAUUAAAGACAUACAGGUGCACGGCAUUUACAAAUUAGGUCACUGUUAAAAGCACGGCCCAAAAAAGUUAUUUUUUCUGACUGUUUGUUAAAAACAAGUCCUCCAUACCUUGUGCUGUAUUACCACAUAAAAUCCCAAUGUAAUACGUAAAAGAUUGUGGUUGUAAUGUGGCGAAUUAUUAAUAACUCCCGGUGUUAUGAAUAAUUCAGCACGAUACUGUUUCUGUGUUUUGUUCCAUUCCUGCCUAAACAGCUCUAGAAAUGAAAUCAUGUGUCCAACAGAUGAAGGGCUCAGGUCUGGAUGGCACAGAUGUGUUUCCUCGCAUUGGGUUUCUGUGAGACUCUUUUCCUCAUUCAGUAUCAAAGUCAAAACUUGUUCCACUUAAUGUGGACUGGAAUGUACAAUUAGGUUUGGUCACACAAUAAUGUCAUUUAUCAUAAGGAAAUAAA
This is a long non-coding RNA of Poecilia latipinna (sailfin molly), 4379 nucleotides long. RefSeq lists it as uncharacterized. Lineage: Eukaryota; Metazoa; Chordata; Actinopteri; Cyprinodontiformes; Poeciliidae. The transcript is spliced from 2 exons. The record is from RefSeq and is a predicted model, not a curated record.